Long non-coding RNA from Rhododendron vialii, 1268 nucleotides. RefSeq lists it as uncharacterized. The record is from RefSeq and is a predicted model, not a curated record. NCBI's taxonomy places the organism in Eukaryota, Viridiplantae, Streptophyta, Magnoliopsida, Ericales, Ericaceae. The transcript has 8 exons.
GUGAUUGAGUUGGAGUUUUAAACCAAGAGCCAAGAUCAAACCCAUUCUCUUCACUUUCCCCUCAAAACUGUCCAGUCAAGAGACCAAACCCCAGAAGAAAAAAAAACCCCUUUUCUCUUCAAAAAGUGACUCUCUCUCUCUCUCUCUCUCUCUCGCCCCUGCUUCUCUUCUCCGCGGUCCACCGAAAACCAAAAAUCGCUCACUCUCUCUCUCUCUCUCUCUCUAUGCCAAUAAUCAAAGGGGUGCAGAUGAAGUCUCUUGAUGCUUGGGAUGGGAGCAAUAUGCGCCCUUACUUUUGAACUCUGCAGAUGCAUAGUGGGUUUCAUGAAAUCAGUGCUCAGAAUAUUAUAGGCUAACCAAAAGGUUUGUUCGACCAUCGCUAACUAAUCUCCCGUCGAAGUUUGGGGGUUUCUUUUCUAUUGAAGGAGAUAUCCCAGGAGAACAAUUCGCUUCACUCUUUCGAUUGGACAUCUUCGAGAUAAAAAUGUCGGUGUUGUGAUCUAGGAGGAACGAGACCUUGAAAUGGCGCAGGCAAAGUCCAAGGAAAAAGAGAAAUUAAUCUAUGCAAGGAAAAAUAAAAUGCAUUUCCAAUGGGAACUAAUGAUAGCACAAUAUCAAAAGCUUCCUUGGCCCAACAUAAAAGGCAAGAACGAGAAAGAAGUGAAAAAAAUCAACCUUCUUAUCAAUCAGUCCAAUGCUUGCGAUGAGAGAGGGAUAGAGCGCUAUCGUGCAUCCAACCGAUAAAAGCCACGUACUUCCCUUCUCUAACACCUACCCGUCGAGACACCAUAGAGCAUGGAGCAGUUACAGUCUAGCAAACCUAUAAGCGACAGAUGGUUAGUCGUACUUCAUGUUCGAUCUUUGCGUAGAGCACAUCCUGGGCUACACAAAAUGAAAGUAGGAUAAAUAUUUGUAGAUCUAUCCCUUCGAAUCAACUCCAUGAAGAACAAGAGACGGCUAUGGAAUUAGAGGGCUUCCGAUCUGUAAGUUAUUGACUAUUCUCUGGAAUGAAGGCAACAACUCUUUUGUAGUACGUGAUUCCUGCUUUUGGGUUUGGUUUCUAUUAGGAUGAUAAUUCAGGUGGUCCAUUACGUAUAGGUUUUUGGUAAAUAUGAUGUAGACUCGCGGGCAUGUGUCUUGACUCCUAUUGUACUUAUGUAAAGAAACAACCUACCAAGAUUGUUUUUUUAUGGAACUUUUGCUAAUUGUAAUGCAUUUGUUCUAAGAAAUGCCUUAAUGGAAUUGGACUGUGUUGGUUUUUUUGUGUA